AAGAAACUUAGGAUCACUUAAACCGAAGGCCUUCAAAGCCUUAAACAAGAGUUAA
This 55-nucleotide transfer RNA is filed under the name Mimus polyglottos (Northern mockingbird). Its description in RNAcentral is "partial tRNA-Trp". RNAcentral also lists the same sequence under 3 other names. The record is from RNAcentral. Lineage: Eukaryota; Metazoa; Chordata; Aves; Passeriformes; Mimidae.